This is an RNA transcript of Cyanidioschyzon merolae strain 10D, 2845 nucleotides long. RefSeq lists it as hypothetical. Lineage: Eukaryota; Rhodophyta; Bangiophyceae; Cyanidiales; Cyanidiaceae. The transcript has a single exon. The record is from RefSeq and is a predicted model, not a curated record.
GACAUAUGCACGUUUGCAGCACGACGUGACGCGGAGUCGAAAUACGCAACGAAUUUACGGCUGCUGUCCCUGAUUCAUAGCAAUAAAUGCAUACUGACAGUACAGUUCGUGUCGCAGUCACCAAGCGAAAGUCGCAUUCGUCAGCGUUCGAUCAGAUCACGCAGGGAGCGCCUCUCUACCAAGCGCAAGUGACCCAACCUGCCCGCUCACUUGCAAAGAACAAAGGCUAUGAACCUUGAACUCUGUCUCCAAGUUGUCUCUUAUCAGGCUUUUUGUGCUUGUAAGGAACGCAACGCUACGCCCAGCCUUGCCUGUGCAGUCUUUGGUGCAGGCGCACCUGCGGAAACCUCCCCAGUAGCGUAAACUGGUCGUAGCGUUCAAUACACGUCGACGUAUCGGGAUGCCCGACAAAGAGACACACGCUACUGCGCAAACGUUUUGUGAAACUUGUUUUCAAGCGUACACAAACGUUUCUUUCUAGAGCACGUGUUCAGGUGAACAGAUUCGCUUUGGUAUUAAAACCGUUCUUUAUAGAGCACGUGUUCAGGUGCUCACACAGGUGUCGGCAGGAACAAUUCUCAAAGUGCGCAAGCAGGUUUCUCUGUGAAGCACGUGUCCAGGUGCACAGACGAGUUUCGGUACAAAGUGCGCACUUGCGUUUCUCUUCAUAUAAGACGUCUUCAGGUGAAUAGACACGUUCUGGUAUACACACACGUUUCGGUGUGCGCAAGUUUGUGUUGGAACUUUGUGCAUCAAGUGGACGCUCUAUUGCCGCAAAAAACAUCAAACUUAUGACGCAGCCACCUUCUGCCAGUGCGGGUGAGGCUGAUGCCUUUCAGUCGCUUGUUCAGGAAGAGCUCGGAGAGAAUGCGUUCUCCACAAGCACGCCGGUGAACGAUGGCACCGGGGGCGGCGACGUUUUUCUGCCAAACGAAGGCGUCGAAAGUGACGCAAUCACCACGCUUCCGGUUUCUACGGCAGGCACGGUGCGUACACCUUUUGAUCAAGACGAAAAAGAGUUCCCUGUUGGAAGAUCAUCUGUCGAUGGGAAGCUAUGGAAGGGCGCUGGAGGUUCGACGUUUGCGAUCGAGGGCGACUCAACCAGUGGACGCGACGCUGUACAGGAGGCAUCUCGGGCGCGGGCACAGCGCAUCCGCGAACGCGAUGAAACUGAACGAGAAGUCCGUCAAAAGUCUCGCGAAGCAGCCGUGCAAGUGUGGGAAAAGAUGCACCAGGCCUGGGAGAAAACAUGCCAGGAGAAACGUGUCGAGACGAAGAAACGGCAAGACAAGCUUAGUGAAGAGCGUGAUGCGCUUUAUCAGGCCAUGCUUGAGAAUGGUGACAACAAUAAGCCAGCAUGGCACCUCGUUCGGGCACUGAUAGAGUCUAACAGUUCGGGAUUGGGAGCGGGCCGAUCACUCGGGACACCUGGCGGCAUGUCUGGACCCGGUGCUGCCAGUGCUGUUUCCGAGGAAGAUGGCAGUUACCGUAGCCUCCGUACUCGCAUGAAGGAUGUAAUCUAUAGCUCCGCCAGCGAAGCGAGCCCGAAGAGUCGUUGAUCUUACCAUCGUAUGUACGGUUACCGGCUGCCGCGGAAAGGUUCUCGCAUAAUACAUGAUGGAGAGCGAGGAGAAACUCUGCGUCUGGUGUCGGUGUCGGUGUCGGUGUCGUCUGCGGCUGGAAGAGCACAACGUGCGUGGUCUUGUGUCGGGAGCAAACGUCGGCGGACUAGCGUGUUCAAGGAACCUUUGGAAUAAGGAGGCACGAGAGACGAAGCAGGUGCAUUCCAAGGAAUACUUCAUUCUUUAGCACAGGCAACGUAUACGAGCUUGUUCUCAGAUGGCACCUAGGCGGUGUCGUAAGCGUCAAACACGAUCCUCCUGACAGCGACGAUGCCAGUACUGUCUCUUGCAGAGCACCUCUGACUUUGCAAGCACGUGGAUUCUCUCGAUAGCUCGUCCACGAUCGCGACGCCUGUAUAUCUCUUCUCUGGGAACAGCCAGGUCAGGUCUGCUUGAGGCCGCUCUAGGACACCCCAUUCUCGCAAUGGCGGAGAUUUCGUCACGAGUCCUGUACAACAUUGCGCCAUCGCUAUACCGUCGACUAGUGCUAUCGUAUGGGCCUCGUAUCGUUAGCGAGCACUCCAUCCGAACAGCCGCAUGACAAGUGAAGCGACCGAUCGAAAGCAGCCUUGCAUGGAGCUACGAAUCAGAGAAACCCCGAGGAACACGUAUACUUCCCGAAGAUAACAGCACACGCCAGUUUGCCUGGUAUCCUCCUUGCAUGCGAAACACACGACUCAGCACACACGAGAUGAUGGUGCACUGCUUUUGGAAGGGCAAAGAACACAAGCAAUGCGCUCGAAUGCAACUUGUAGCGUUUGCGUAUCCUCAACUGCCGAGAAGCAACAUCUAUACCACCCGGGUUCAGGAGCAUGGCAAACACGACCCGGAUAGAUCAACACUCGCGCUUCUCGAAAGAGUCGCUCAGCAAGUUCCAACUCCGCUUCCCAGGUCGCCUCGCGAAGAAAUCUCUGCAAGCCAAUCCAUACGAAGAAUCCAGCCUGGCUGGGAUAGAUGCGCACCUGCUCUGCCCCAAGACUGGUUUGAAUCGCUUGAACAGCCACCUGAUACGCUUCCUCUAGUCGUCGUUGGUUUGCGACGAAAAACUUGUGCAACCAUUGCUCGUCACUCAGCAUUCGGCAAAGCACUGCCUGCGUAUCCCGACUGGGCGACGAAAACAAACACGGUGCUCGAAUCGCCUGCAACAGAGCCUGGUUCUCCGUAAAGAGAACCCCACAUCGCAUGCCACUCAUACAGAGGUCCUUACUAAACGUCCAUACGAC